This 440-nucleotide ribosomal RNA is filed under the name uncultured bacterium. Its description in RNAcentral is "partial 16S ribosomal RNA". It matches the Rfam family "Bacterial small subunit ribosomal RNA", at positions 338 to 795 of the family's 1533-position model. The record is from RNAcentral.
CCUACGGGAGGCAGCAGUGGGGAAUAUUGCACAAUGGGGGGAACCCUGAUGCAGCGACGCCGCGUGGGUGAAGGAGUACUUCGGUACGUAAAGCCCUAUCAGCAGGAAAGAAAAUGAUGGUGCCUGACUACGAAGCCGCGGCUAACUACGUGGCAGCAGCCGCGGCAAUACGUAGGGGGCAGGCGUCAUCCGGAGUUACUGGGUGUAAAGGGAGCGUCGUAGGCGGUGCAAGUACGGAGUGAAAGCACGGGGCCCAACCCCGGGACUGCUUUGGAAACUGCAAGGCUGGAGUGCGGGAGGGGCAGGCGGAAUUCCUGGUGUAGCGGUGAAAUGCGUAGAUAUCAGGAGGAACACCGGCGGCGAAGGCGGCCUGCUGGACCGUAACUGACGUUGAGGCUCGAAAGCGUGGGGAGCAAACAGGAUUAGAUACCCCAGUAGUC